ACCGUUGAGAUCAUGACCUGAGCCGAAAUCAAGAGUCGGACACUUAACGGACUGAGCCACCCAGGCGCCCCUGGCACGAAGGUUAUUUUGAGCCGAUGGCAAUUGAGACCCUGAGGCCUUGAGAGAAAUAUUUGCCCCUCCCUAACUACAUAGAAGCAUGUAAAUUGGGGUCUUUCCCAGAAGCAGGGCUAUUAUCGGAGACACAUUUUAUCUGAGUGACCCAUCUAUAUGGCAGGAGAGACAUCUAAUUACCAAACAUCUCCUCUCAUCGCCCUGUGAGGUGCAUUUCUUUCCUCCGAAGUCCCUGCCCCUUGCCCCCUUCUCUUUAGCUCAGAACGAUGUGCGUAUCUCAUCGUGCCCGACUGUCUCUGGAAUCUCCGUGUCUGUGUGGAUUCCCCGUACGCACUCUCUUAAAUUUUAUCUUCUCCCAUUAA
Molecule: long non-coding RNA, 434 nt
Organism: Herpailurus yagouaroundi (jaguarundi)
Lineage: Eukaryota; Metazoa; Chordata; Mammalia; Carnivora; Felidae
Exons: 2
Source: RefSeq, a predicted model, not a curated record